Long non-coding RNA from Puntigrus tetrazona (Sumatra barb), 4095 nucleotides. RefSeq lists it as uncharacterized. The record is from RefSeq and is a predicted model, not a curated record. The transcript has 3 exons. Lineage: Eukaryota; Metazoa; Chordata; Actinopteri; Cypriniformes; Cyprinidae.
AGGGACCAGACCACACCGGGAGGGAGAGAGUUCGGGACCGGAGCAUCAGUAGCACUUUCAAGGAAUACGUUAAAAAAAAACUUACCUGUGGGGGAGACCGAGGAGUGUGCAACACGGGGCCAGUGUUGGCACCGACUUGUGAACCAGCUGAUUAUGGCAACAUACAAGGUGCAUUUGCGAACUGACUGUACAGAGAAAAACCUCACAGAAAGAAUCAGUGAAAAGAAAACCCAUACAAGCACGAUGCAAACAGUGAAAAGUGCCGUCCUGUCUUGUCACUCGUCAUUCUGAAAUUUCACUCAGCCAAUCGGAGGAUCUGAACUAGCUGUAAGGAUUUUGAGUAGCAAGAGGGUGAGUAACUGUGAUGACGAGUGCUUAUCUGGAACUACAUGCUGGAUUUUCAAAAUCGAGAAGCCCAGGUCUGUUGAUGAGCAUAUGUGAUUACAUGAGGCUGGAGAUGGAAGAUGAAGUGUGAAAAUGGAGCGACCUGUGGGAGUCUCACAGCCUGCAAAAAAAUCAAUAUUACUCUCCUUGAGAUCCUCUUUCUCUCAGCAUCUGUGAAGUAUAGAUUCCCAUCUCCGCCAUAUGUGGACUCUAGCGCUGAUGAAAUAUCUUUGAUAUUUACCACUGUUUAAUCAUAUACCGUAUGUGAGGAGGACUGAACUACAGAGCUAAACAAACAAUUCAAAGCAGCUUCAGCAUAUAGCUGAGCCUAAUGGAGUCAGUAAUGAUCAGUUUCGUUGUGUUCAAUCUGGAAUUGGCUUCACGAUCCCCAGUCGGAUGUCUUUUAAACCAAACAGGAGCAAAUCUGUGAACCUACAUACAAUCUCACAACAUCUUCUCCCAUCAGUCCCUCAGUCUAUGCACCGGUAGGUAUAAGUCCUAGCAUAUUAGUCCAGUCAGGUGGAACAAAAAUGACACAGUGAGCAUCGCUAAGUCAUGAGGUGUUGAGUGUGACUCAUUACGCCACUGCUCGGUGCCUCCACAGCCGAUAAGGACCGUCCCCGCUGUAUGUCCAUGCCUAGAUGGAGUAAUUGGACCGGUAAGGUAAAAUGGCCACACAGACUCCAGGAACAGAGAAUUAACUGCAUAUUGACAGCGUUAAACUUGGCAGCCUCCCAGGGCUGAAAUGUUGAUUUUUGAACUGCUGUUUUGCCAGAGCGAGAAACUAACAGAAAGACAAACCUUUAUAAAUUACAGAGCAGUAAACCCCGACAAUAAAGAGUGCAGUAUUUUUGUCAUCUGACAAGGUUAGAGAGUUCUUUCAUCGCAAAAUCCAUCAGUUCCAUUAUUUUCUUGGAGUUUGUAUAAAGAUGCUGGCCAGUGAGAGACGGAGCUCUGUAAAAGGCUGAUACGACUUAAAAUAAAACAAGACCUUAAAUAUAAAGAAUGCUUUUAUGCAUUUCUUUUAAACUGCUGCCAGCAAAGCAAGAAUGAAAGGAACGCAGAAGACUGCCAGCAUUAUCCUUGUUAGUGUCUGCAGAUAGAAUGUUUUACGAGACAAAGGAUCCAUACUCUGCUGGAGAAAUUAAUGACUUUCUUUGAAAAGAGGGUCUCGGUGUUGUUAUGGAAACCUCCUCUCAAGAGAUGCUAAUAAGCUCAAGCCAAAGCAAAAGAAGCAGUUUUGAAUGUGGAAAUAAAACUUGAGCCUGUCUCUAAUGCACUGCAUUUGUUACAGGGUGUUGCAGGACUUGAUUACUGCUGCUUGCUAAGGCAACAAUCAAAAGUGCUGUUAGUUUGCAUUUCGGCUCACAUCUCGUCCUGAACAUGAAUUAUACCAUGAAUCUUGGGGCCUGUUGAUAAGAGAUGCUAUGUUACUCUUCUAAUUGAUCGGACAUGCUGGGCAAUAGUCUCAUAAAACUGUUUGCUUAUCAGAAUAUCACAGACGCUUUUUUUCUGUGGUAACCAGAUAAAAACCACCAGAACACUCAAGCAACAAAACAGCAACACUAAAAACUACUCAGCACAGCUUAGCAACUGCAUAGCAAUGCCUUGGCAAACACCCCAAACAGCAACCAGCGAUGCAUAGGGUCUGUGAAAAUUCAUUUGCAGUGAUAAAACGUAUCUGUGAUCCUACAAACUAGGAAAUGCGUCUCUCACGUGGUCAGCCAUGUUAAAAAUUAAUAUUUAAGUCAGUAAUAGGAAAUUAACAUUAUUCGUUAUUCCUAUGCUAAUAGGGAGAAACACAAAUUUCAAUACUGAAAUAUGGUUGUCAAAUGGCAAAGCUUUUUAAAUAUUUGAAAGUACGCUAUCAAUACCAGUCAAUAUCAAUAUCAACAUUAUAUGACGUUAUGAUAAAGAAUUAUGUCAUGAUGUAUCUUUAGUAAUUAUAACUUGGUAACAAUGUAUGAACAAUGUUUUGUCAUUUAGACAUAUUCAUACUGAUACCAUGAUAAUAAUAUGAAUUAUACUACUAGUAACAAUAUAAAAUGGAUUAUUGAGUUGCUGGGAUCAUUAAUCAUUAAUAUUAAUUACAUUUUCUCUUUCUGUUCAAAUUGAUUCGCUGAGAUCAAAACAGCCGGCCAAUGAGAUUGCCAUAUAUGCAUUAUUAUUUAUUUAUCCAUAAGAUACUAAAGUCAAAUCUAAGAAUGUACUAGCCAUUGGCUAUAGAUUUAGUCACAUAUGUUAGCGAUUUGCUUGCAUUGUAGACAGUUGCAUUCAGUAAUAAAUGUAAUAACAUGAAGUAAACGAUAACAGCAGAGAGUGCUAUUGCUUAAAUGGUUUAAAUGAUUUUAUCUCUAAAAAUGAUGCCCAUCAUUUAAAAAAAUGGAAAUAACUGGGAGAAGUUAAAACAGUUUCCUAUUUGCACACAGUAAUCAUUUAAUGGGAUCUUACGGGGUUAUCCCCAUAACAAUCACUGUUCAAACAAGCCUUUGGAUAUUAUUUUGAAGUCAAAAAAGUGUUAGAUACAAUGUUACAGAACUGGAAUCUGUUGACCCCCAAAGAUGGUGAAUAGUGGAGCAGUAAACGCUAGUGAUAAUGGCAGAGCCCCAGCCCGGUCUUGACUAUGGGAAAAUGGGUCUCGUGCAUAUGCAUGAGAUUGGACCUCAGGUGAGGAGAGCUGUGACCCAAUUGCAGACAUCAUCACUAAAGAUGAAGUUCACAUAUUCAGAACUCACCUGAGAACAAAGUAUGCCUCUGCCCUCAGAAUGUGCAUUUGUAGUUUUUUUUUUAUUGCAGUUAUUGUGAAAAGAUGUCUAUUUGACCGGUCCGGAGUGUUGUAUAAUAGGUUACCCCUAUUAUUUAUGUACUUGAACUUUUGCAUACGGACAUAUUGUUAAGAGAAUCAUUUCCUGUAAUCAGUGAGGGAAAUGACAUUCUAGCCAAAGGCUGUAUGUGUUUGCUGGUUAUGGCUGCUGCUUAUAUUUUGGUUUGAAAUUGACACUAUUUUUCUCAUAACGUUGAAGCACAUCACCUGUGGGUCUGCUGGCCCUGGGCUCUCAGGUAUUAGAGGACAAAUAUCCAACACGCUGGUUUAGAGCAGAAUUUCAUGUCUCUUCUGUUUUCCUAGUAUUGCAGAAUACCUGUAACCUUUAACAGCUCCUGAGACUUAAUGUCAACUCUAUAUAACCCAGAUUCCACUUCUGAUAACAGCACGGACAAAGGAAGAAAAGGAAAAUAUACUAGUGAUGUCUAACGAAUCUUACAAGCCUUAUAGAUUGCAUCUUCAGCAAAAAAAAACAUACAUGGCUUAGCGAUGCAAAUUAGUUCAAUUGCACCUCCUAAAAUGGUGCUUUUCUGAAGAUUAUGCUGAAAAACCCUGUUACCAUGAGACCUAUGGUUAUUCAUGCGGUCUACGGAUUCAAGUUAAUUACACACUAAUCGGAUGAAAUUAAUUGCACUUACUAUGCAAUCUGAGCAAAUGGAUUGUAAGUCUUUUCCUCUUUUGUUUGGCCAGAAUAACAUGGGCGGGUACAUUUAGACUUCUCAGCAUUUUUCAAGUAAAAACACCUUACAGGGACAUUGAGGAUCGGCAUAAAAUUAAUUAUCCAAAUCAUGGACCAUACGUUCAUUAAACCGUGUUGAUUUAAAGAGCGUGCAUACUGCAUUUGUCUUUGUUUAAUUGUGUGAGUAAAAAAAAACAUUCAAUCUUAU